AAAGGUUAUGGCGGCGUGCUUACCAUGCAAGUCGAACGGUGAACACGGAGCUUGCUCUGUGGGAUCAGUGGCGAACGGGUGAGUAACACGUGAGCAACCUGCCCCUGACUCUGGGAUAAGCGCUGGAAACGGCGUCUAAUACUGGAUACGAACCACGAAGGCAUCUUCAGUGGUUGGAAAGAAUUUCGGUUGGGGAUGGGCUCGCGGCCUAUCAGCUUGUUGGUGAGGUAAUGGCUCACCAAGGCGUCGACGGGUAGCCGGCCUGAGAGGGUGACCGGCCACACUGGGACUGAGACACGGCCCAGACUCCUACGGGAGGCAGCAGUGGGGAAUAUUGCACAAUGGGCGCAAGCCUGAUGCAGCAACGCCGCGUGAGGGAUGACGGCCUUCGGGUUGUAAACCUCUUUUAGCAGGGAAGAAGCGAAAGUGACGGUACCUGCAGAAAAAGCGCCGGCUAACUACGUGCCAGCAGCCGCGGUAAUACGUAGGGCGCAAGCGUUAUCCGGAAUUAUUGGGCGUAAAGAGCUCGUAGGCGGUUUGUCGCGUCUGCUGUGAAAUCCCGAGGCUCAACCUCGGGCCUGCAGUGGGUACGGGCAGACUAGAGUGCGGUAGGGGAGAUUGGAAUUCCUGGUGUAGCGGUGGAAUGCGCAGAUAUCAGGAGGAACACCGAUGGCGAAGGCAGAUCUCUGGGCCGUAACUGACGCUGAGGAGCGAAAGGGUGGGGAGCAAACAGGCUUAGAUACCCUGGUAGUCCACCCCGUAAACGUUGGGAACUAGUUGUGGGGUCCAUUCCACGGAUUCCGUGACGCAGCUAACGCAUUAAGUUCCCCGCCUGGGGAGUACGGCCGCAAGGCUAAAACUCAAAGGAAUUGACGGGGACCCGCACAAGCGGCGGAGCAUGCGGAUUAAUUCGAUGCAACGCGAAGAACCUUACCAAGGCUUGACAUAUACGAGAACGGGCCAGAAAUGGUCAACUCUUUGGACACUCGUAAACAGGUGGUGCAUGGUUGUCGUCAGCUCGUGUCCUGAGAUGUUGGGUUAAGUCCCGCAACGAGCGCAACCCUCGUUCUAUGUUGCCCGCCCUAAUGGUGGGAACUCUGGGAAACUGCCGGGGUCACUCGGAGGAGGUGGGGAUG
This 1136-nucleotide ribosomal RNA is filed under the name Microbacterium hydrocarbonoxydans. Its description in RNAcentral is "bacterial SSU rRNA". It matches the Rfam family "Bacterial small subunit ribosomal RNA", at positions 31 to 1181 of the family's 1533-position model. The record is from RNAcentral. Lineage: Bacteria; Bacillati; Actinomycetota; Actinomycetes; Micrococcales; Microbacteriaceae.